RNAcentral lists this ribosomal RNA (499 nucleotides) under uncultured bacterium. RNAcentral describes it as "partial 16S ribosomal RNA". It matches the Rfam family "Bacterial small subunit ribosomal RNA", at positions 28 to 507 of the family's 1533-position model. The record is from RNAcentral.
GACGAACGCUGGCGGCGUGCCUAAUACAUGCAAGUCGAGCGAAGUUUUUCUGGUGCUUGCACUAGAAAGACUUAGCGGCGCCCGUGUGAGUCACACGUAAAGAACCUGCCUCAUAGACUGGGACCACUAUUGGAAACGAUAUCUAAUACCGGAUAACAGCAUUACCUGCAGGGUUGUUGUUUAAAAGUUUGUUUUGCUAACACUAUGAGAUGGCUUUGCGGUGCAUUAGCUAGUUGGUGGGGUAAAGGCCUACCAAGGCGACGAUGCAUAGCCGACCUGAGAGGGUGAUCGGCCACACUGGAACUGAGACACGGCCCAGACUCCUACGGGAGGCAGCAGUAGGGAAUCUUCCGCAAUGGGCGAAAGCCUGACGGAGCAACGCCGCGUGAGUGAAGAAGGAUUUCGGUUCGUAAAGCUCUGUUGUUAGGGAAGAAUGAAUGUGUAGUAACUAUACACAGUAGAGACGGUACCUAACCAGAAAGCCACGGCUAACUACGUG